Long non-coding RNA from Mandrillus leucophaeus (drill), 369 nucleotides. RefSeq lists it as uncharacterized. The record is from RefSeq and is a predicted model, not a curated record. Lineage: Eukaryota; Metazoa; Chordata; Mammalia; Primates; Cercopithecidae. The transcript has 3 exons.
AGGAAAAUUAUACCAUCAGCAAGACUGGCAUCAGCAAGUAGUUCACAGUGUUGAUUGUUCUUGGUUUCGUAGGAUUUUAUAGGAGUUCUGAACACUGGGAAGUCCAAGAGCAAGGCGCCAACAGAUUCAAUGUCUGAGGCUCUGAUCUUUUCAUUACAGAAAAAUCACUCUCACAGGGUUCUGCUGAGGGUGUGUGAUUACAGAUGAUGCCAAGGAGCACUCCGGGAACCUCUAAUGGGGAGGACACAAGACAAAGCAAAUGGACAGUCAUUUUUCCAAGAGAUGGGCCCCCUGCCAUGAGGAAGCUCUUCAGGCUGCGUCUCCUUUUUGUGUUUUUAUUUGAUCUUUAAUAAAGAAUAUUAAGACUGA